CUACGGGUGGCUGCAGUGGGGAAUAUUGGACAAUGGGCGAAAGCCUGAUCCAGCCAUGCCGCGUGUGUGAAGAAGGCCUUCGGGUUGUAAAGCACUUUCAGUGGGGAAGAAAGCCUUGGGGCUAAUACCCUCGAGGAAGGACAUCACCCACAGAAGAAGCACCGGCUAACUCCGUGCCAGCAGCCGCGGUAAUACGGAGGGUGCGAGCGGUAAUCGGAAUUACUGGGCGUAAAGCGCGCGUAGGCGGUCUGAUAAGCCGGUUGUGAAAGCCCCGGGCUCAACCUGGGAACGGCAUCCGGAACUGUCAGGCUAGAGUGCAGGAGAGGAAAGUAGAAUUCCCGGUGUAGCAGUGAAAUGCGUAGAGAUCGGGAGGAAUACCAGUGGCGAAGGCGGCCUUCUGGACUGACACUGACGCUGAGGUGCGAAAGCGUGGGUAGCAAACAGGAUUAGAUACCCGAGUAGUC
This 464-nucleotide ribosomal RNA is filed under the name Vreelandella stevensii. RNAcentral's name for it is "partial 16S ribosomal RNA". It matches the Rfam family "Bacterial small subunit ribosomal RNA", at positions 339 to 795 of the family's 1533-position model. Lineage: Bacteria; Pseudomonadati; Pseudomonadota; Gammaproteobacteria; Oceanospirillales; Halomonadaceae. The record is from RNAcentral.